GCCAUAGUGACCUUGGAACCAGGAUUGCAAAGCGAGGAACCCAGUCAGCUGGCUCUGCAUGGAAGCCUUGAGAGGAACUCCAUGGUGUUGCAUGUGCGUAAGCAGAAUGAGCGCUAAUGUGUGAUGACACAACGACAGGGCUGGUCCUCUGGUGCCUUAGAGAGACUGGAGCAUGUGUAAACAUUCGGUGAAGGAAAUUCCUCUGGAGCUGAGGAAGGGGCCCAACAAGGCUUUGGAGUCAAGAAACCAGUUUGGACAUUGCAGCCUGCUCAGCAUGGAAGCCCUAAGGAGCAAGGAGUGCUCUUGUUGAUCCAGGGCAGAGCAAAUGAGACGAGGAUGGGAUCUUAGUGGGACCAGUGUUAGGAAGGGCUGUGCUAAGAACGAGCUGGAUCUCCGCAGACACCCCGAGUCCUUGACAGGUUACUGGGGGCUGUUUAUACUUUGUUCUUGCCACACUUUUGAUGUAAAGAUCUCUUUAAAAGCUAAUUGAUGCUAAGGGGUUAAACGGAACUGGGGAUUUAGUCAUUGGCCCCCAAAAGUGAGAGAGAAUCCACAGUUAGUGGAGGCUCAAGCCAGUGAGAUUAGGGAGAUACUAGAUACCCUAAGGGUAUCCUAGGGGCAGCAAGGUGGCACAGUGCACA
This is a non-coding RNA of Phascolarctos cinereus (koala), 641 nucleotides long. NCBI's taxonomy places the organism in Eukaryota, Metazoa, Chordata, Mammalia, Diprotodontia, Phascolarctidae. The record is from RefSeq and is a predicted model, not a curated record.